UACGUAGGGCGCAAGCGUUGUCCGGAAUUAUUGGGCGUAAAGAGCUCGUAGGCGGCUUGUCAAGUCGAUUGUGAAAGCCCGAGGCUUAACCUCGGGUCUGCAGUCGAUACGGGCAGGCUAGAGUGUGGUAGGGGAGAUCGGAAUUCCUGGUGUAGCGGUGAAAUGCGCAGAUAUCAGGAGGAACACCGGUGGCGAAGGCGGAUCUCUGGGCCAUUACUGACGCUGAGGAGCGAAAGCGUGGGGAGCGAACAGG
Molecule: ribosomal RNA, 253 nt
Filed under: uncultured bacterium
Lineage: Bacteria
Description: partial 16S ribosomal RNA
Rfam family: Bacterial small subunit ribosomal RNA
Source: RNAcentral